This is a long non-coding RNA of Engraulis encrasicolus (European anchovy), 248 nucleotides long. RefSeq lists it as uncharacterized. The record is from RefSeq and is a predicted model, not a curated record. Lineage: Eukaryota; Metazoa; Chordata; Actinopteri; Clupeiformes; Engraulidae. The transcript is spliced from 3 exons.
UUAACGACUUCCAGAAGAAGGGCCAUCACAACAUUGACGUCCACGUGCCAAACUGGAGGAUGAACUCAAAGAACACUGUUGUCGACCAUCGUGAUCUGAUACUUCUUCAACAGAAGGGUUUUAUCUCUUCCACUGCUAGUCGUUGUUAUGACGAUAACCUCCUGUUCAGAGACAGUGAACCCAAUGGAUGGAUCGUAUCAAAUGACAAGUUCAGAGAUGCCCCUGAAAGAUACAAGGAUGCUGUUGGC